This 743-nucleotide ribosomal RNA is filed under the name Trichoderma reesei. RNAcentral's name for it is "eukaryotic LSU rRNA". The stretch from base 147 to 743 matches the Rfam family "Eukaryotic large subunit ribosomal RNA", at positions 1 to 606 of the family's 3401-position model. The record is from RNAcentral. Lineage: Eukaryota; Fungi; Ascomycota; Sordariomycetes; Hypocreales; Hypocreaceae.
GUCGGCGUUGGGGAUCGGCCCCUCACCGGGCCGCCCCCGAAAUACAGUGGCGGUCUCGCCGCAGCCUCUCCUGCGCAGUAGUUUGCACACUCGCACCGGGAGCGCGGCGCGGCCACAGCCGUAAAACACCCCAAACUCUGAAAUGUUGACCUCGGAUCAGGUAGGAAUACCCGCUGAACUUAAGCAUAUCAAUAAGCGGAGGAAAAGAAACCAACAGGGAUUGCCCCAGUAACGGCGAGUGAAGCGGCAACAGCUCAAAUUUGAAAUCUGGCCCUUUCGGGUCCGAGUUGUAAUUUGUAGAGGAUGCUUUUGGCAAGGCGCCGCCCGAGUUCCCUGGAACGGGACGCCACAGAGGGUGAGAGCCCCGUCUGGCUGGCCGCCGAGCCUCUGUAAAGCUCCUUCGACGAGUCGAGUAGUUUGGGAAUGCUGCUCAAAAUGGGAGGUAUAUGUCUUCUAAAGCUAAAUAUUGGCCAGAGACCGAUAGCGCACAAGUAGAGUGAUCGAAAGAUGAAAAGCACCUUGAAAAGAGGGUUAAAUAGUACGUGAAAUUGUUGAAAGGGAAGCGCUUGUGACCAGACUUGGGCGCGGCGGAUCAUCCGGGGUUCUCCCCGGUGCACUUCGCCGUGUCCAGGCCAGCAUCAGUUCGUCGCGGGGGAAAAAGGCUUCGGGAACGUGGCUCCCCUGGGAGUGUUAUAGCCCGUUGCAUAAUACCCUGCGGUGGACUGAGGACCGCGCAUCUGCAA